GCCUGCAUGGCUUAGUGGUAAAGCGUCGCACUCGUAGCAUUGGCUCAAUACCAGUAUGUUAGAAAUGCGAAGACCCCCAGUUCAAUCCUGGGUGUGGGCU
Molecule: non-coding RNA, 100 nt
Organism: Plenodomus tracheiphilus IPT5
Lineage: Eukaryota; Fungi; Ascomycota; Dothideomycetes; Pleosporales; Leptosphaeriaceae
Source: the annotation of a GenBank genome assembly